CUGGNGGCAGGCCUAACACAUGCAAGUCGAGCGGAAACGAGUUAUCUGAACCUUCGGGGNACGAUAACGGCGUCGAGCGGCGGACGGGUGAGUAAUGCCUAGGAAAUUGCCCUGAUGUGGGGGAUAACCAUUGGAAACGAUGGCUAAUACCGCAUGAUGCCUACGGGCCAAAGAGGGGGACCUUCGGGCCUCUCGCGUCAGGAUAUGCCUAGGUGGGAUUAGCUAGUUGGUGAGGUAAGGGCUCACCAAGGCGACGAUCCCUAGCUGGUCUGAGAGGAUGAUCAGCCACACUGGAACUGAGACACGGUCCAGACUCCUACGGGAGGCAGCAGUGGGGAAUAUUGCACAAUGGGCGCAAGCCUGAUGCAGCCAUGCCGCGUGUGUGAAGAAGGCCUUCGGGUUGUAAAGCACUUUCAGUCGUGAGGAAGGUGGUNUUGUUAAUAGCNCUAUNAUUUGACGUUAGCGACAGAAGAAGCACCGGCUAACUCCGUGCCAGCAGCCGCGGUAAUACGGAGGGUGCGAGCGUUAAUCGGAAUUACUGGGCGUAAAGCGCAUGCAGGUGGUUUGUUAAGUCAGAUGUGAAAGCCCGGGGCUCAACCUCGGAAUAGCAUUUGAAACUGGCAGACUAAAAGUACUUGUAAAGGGGGGGUAGAAUUUUCAGGUGUAGCCGGUGAAAAUGCNUANANAUCUNAAAGGAAUACCCGGNGGCGAAAGGCGGCCCCCCUGGACAGAUACUUGACACUUCAAAUGCCCAAAAACCGUGGGGGA
Molecule: ribosomal RNA, 768 nt
Filed under: marine gamma proteobacterium DC
Lineage: Bacteria; Pseudomonadati; Pseudomonadota; Gammaproteobacteria
Description: bacterial SSU rRNA
Rfam family: Bacterial small subunit ribosomal RNA
Source: RNAcentral